AGCCUUUCGGGGUGGAUUAGUGGCGAACGGGUGAGUAACACGUGGGCAAUCUGCCCUUCACUCUGGGACAAGCCCUGGAAACGGGGUCUAAUACCGGAUAACACUCUGUCCUGCAUGGGACGGGGUUAAAAGCUCCGGCGGUGAAGGAUGAGCCCGCGGCCUAUCAGCUUGUUGGUGGGGUAAUGGCCUACCAAGGCGACGACGGGUAGCCGGCCUGAGAGGGCGACCGGCCACACUGGGACUGAGACACGGCCCAGACUCCUACGGGAGGCAGCAGUGGGGAAUAUUGCACAAUGGGCGAAAGCCUGAUGCAGCGACGCCGCGUGAGGGAUGACGGCCUUCGGGUUGUAAACCUCUUUCAGCAGGGAAGAAGCGAAAGUGACGGUACCUGCAGAAGAAGCGCCGGCUAACUACGUGCCAGCAGCCGCGGUAAUACGUAGGGCGCAAGCGUUGUCCGGAAUUAUUGGGCGUAAAGAGCUCGUAGGCGGCUUGUCACGUCGGAUGUGAAAGCCCGGGGCUUAACCCCGGGUCUGCAUUCGAUACGGGCUAGCUAGAGUGUGGUAGGGGAGAUCGGAAUUCCUGGUGUAGCGGUGAAAUGCGCAGAUAUCA
This 609-nucleotide ribosomal RNA is filed under the name Streptomyces griseorubiginosus. RNAcentral's name for it is "bacterial SSU rRNA". It matches the Rfam family "Bacterial small subunit ribosomal RNA", at positions 74 to 699 of the family's 1533-position model. Lineage: Bacteria; Bacillati; Actinomycetota; Actinomycetes; Kitasatosporales; Streptomycetaceae. The record is from RNAcentral.